This 506-nucleotide ribosomal RNA is filed under the name uncultured bacterium. RNAcentral describes it as "partial 16S ribosomal RNA". It matches the Rfam family "Bacterial small subunit ribosomal RNA", at positions 29 to 523 of the family's 1533-position model. The record is from RNAcentral.
AGUGAACGCUGGCGGCAGGCCUAACACAUGCAAGUCGAACGGCAGCGCAGCAGUAGCAAUACUGUGGGCGGCGAGUGGCGGACGGGUGAGGAAUACAUCGGAAUCUACCCUGUCGUGGGGGAUAACGUAGGGAAACUUACGCUAAUACCGCAUACGACCAACGGGUGAAAGCGGCGGACCGCAAGGCGUCGCGCGAUUGGAUGAGACGAUGUCCGAUUAGCUAGUUGGCGGGGUAAAGGCCCACCAAGGCGACGAUCGGUAGCUGGUCUGAGAGGAUGAUCAGCCACACUGGAACUGAGACACGGUCCAGACUCCUACGGGAGGCAGCAGUGGGGAAUAUUGGACAAUGGGCGCAAGCCUGAUCCAGCCAUGCCGCGUGUGUGAAGAAGGCCUUCGGGUUGUAAAGCACUUUUGUUGGGGAAGAAAAGGCGCCGGUUAAUACCCGGUGUUUCUGACGGUACCCAAAGAAUAAGCACCGGCUAACUUCGUGCCAGCCGCCGCUGUAA